Molecule: long non-coding RNA, 486 nt
Organism: Cyprinus carpio carpio
Lineage: Eukaryota; Metazoa; Chordata; Actinopteri; Cypriniformes; Cyprinidae
Source: Ensembl
UCUAUUGUGGGGUUGUCUGUUGUCAUUGUUGUCUCUGCUGUUGUACUUUCUGGUGUUGUGGUACCGGAGGUUGUACUUUCUGUUGUUGUCUCAGCUGUGGUGCUUUCAGUUGUUGUUGAAGUUUCUGCUGUUGUACUUUCUAAAGUUGUGGUACCAAUGGUGGUGCUUUCUGUUGUUGUAGUAUCGAUUGUGGUGCUGUCUGUUGUUAUUGUUGUCUCUGCUGUUGUAGUUUCUGGUGUUGUGGCAACGGAGGUUGUACUUUCUGUUGUUGUCUCAGUUGUGGUGCUUUCAGUUGUUGUUGAAGUUUCUGCUGUUGUACUUUCUAAAGUUGUGGUACCGAUGGUGGUGCUUUCUGUUGUUGUAGUAUCGAUUGUGGUGCUUUCUCUUGUUAUUGUUGUCUCUGCUAUUGUACUUUCUGGUGUUGUGGUACCAGUGGUUGUACUUUCUGUUGUUGUAGAAUCCAUUGUGGUGCUGUCUGUUGUUAUU